RNAcentral lists this unclassified non-coding RNA (297 nucleotides) under uncultured fungus. Its description in RNAcentral is "sequence contains ITS1, 5.8S rRNA gene". The stretch from base 250 to 297 matches the Rfam family "5.8S ribosomal RNA", at positions 1 to 49 of the family's 154-position model. Lineage: Eukaryota; Fungi. The record is from RNAcentral.
UUUCCGUAGGUGAACCUGCGGAAGGAUCAUUAUGAGAUUCUCGGGGAGGCAAGGCGGGGCCCGAGCGGGCCUUGAACUGCUGACCCCCGGCUGGAAGCGCCGGAAGGUGUCUGACAGUGCAACCCUCUGUGAAACCCUUUUGCCGCCUAGGCAGCCUCUCCUCCGGAGCGGUAAGCCUGCCGGCGGUAUCAAGGAAACUCCUGAAUAAAACCACACCUUUGUCUGAAUAAAGCAGUCGAAUGACCAUAAAACUUUCAACAACGGAUCUCUUGGUUCCCGCAUCGAUGAGAACGCAGC